AUGCACGCUGGCGGCGUGCCUCAUCCCUGCCAGUCGAGCGAACAGACGAGGAGCUUGCUCCUCUGACGUUAGCGGCGGACGGGUGAGUAACACGUGGAUAACCUACCUAUAAGACCGGGAUAACUUCGGGAAACCGGAGCUAAUACCGGAUAACAUGUUGAACCGCAUGGUUCAACAGUGAAAGACGGUCUUGCUGUCACUUAUAGAUGGAUCCGCGCCGCAUUAGCUAGUUGGUAAGGUAACGGCUUACCAAGGCAACGAUGCGUAGCCGACCUGAGAGGGUGAUCGGCCACACUGGAACUGAGACACGGUCCAGACUCCUACGGGAGGCAGCAGUAGGGAAUCUUCCGCAACGGGCGAAAGCCUGACGGAGCAACGCCGCGUGAGUGAUGAAGGUCUUCGGAUCGUAAAACUCUGUUAUUAGGGAAGAACAAAUGUGUAAGUAACUAUGCACGUCUUGACGGUACCUAAUCAGAAAGCCACGGCUAACUACGUG
RNAcentral lists this ribosomal RNA (496 nucleotides) under uncultured bacterium. RNAcentral's name for it is "partial 16S ribosomal RNA". It matches the Rfam family "Bacterial small subunit ribosomal RNA", at positions 29 to 507 of the family's 1533-position model. The record is from RNAcentral.